UCUGGUUGAUCCUGCCAGUAGUCAUAUGCUUGUCUCAAAGAUUAAGCCAUGCAUGUCUAAGUAUAAAUAGUAUACAGUGAAACUGCGAAUGGCUCAUUAAAACAGUUAUAGUUUAUUUGAUAAUCGACAAUUACAUGGAUAACCGUGGUAAUUCUAGAGCUAAUACAUGCUUAAACGCCCGACUUUAUGGAAGGGUGGUAUUUAUUAGACUGAAGCCAAUAUUCCUUGUGUCUAUUGCGGUGAUUCAUAAUAACUGAUCGAAUCUCUUUUUGAGAUAAAUCAUUCAAGUUUCUGCCCUAUCAGCUUUCGAUGGUAGUGUAUUGGACUACCAUGGCAGUAACGGGUAACGAAGAAUUAGGGUUCGAUUUCGGAGAGGGAGCAUGAGAAACGGCUACCACAUCUAAGGAAGGCAGCAGGCGCGUAAAUUACCCAAUCCUGACUCAGGGAGGUAGUGACAAGAAAUAGCAAACCGGGAACCUCAUGGUUUCACGGUAUUGCAAUGAGAACAAUUUAAAACCAUUAGCGAGAAUCAAGUGGAGGACAAGUCUGGUGCCAGCACCCGCGGUAAUUCCAGCUCCACUAGCGUAUAUUAAAGUUGUUGCAGUUAAAAAGCUCGUAGUUGAACCUCUGUCUGGGGCUAGUUUUGGCUUUGGUCAGGCUAGUUCUAGGCAUCCGCCUACAAGACUUAGAGGGCAUUCAGUUGUUCACUAGGAGGAGUAGGCAUUUUACUUUGAAAAAAUUAGAGUGUUUAAGGCAGGCAAUCGCCCGCAUAUAUUAGCAUGGAAUAAUAGAAUAGGACACUUUUCCAUUUCGUUGGUUAUUGGAAUCGUGUAAUGAUUAAUAGGGACAGUUGCGGGCAUUUGUAUUUAAUUGUCAGAGGUGAAAUUCUUGGAUUUAUUAAAGACAAACUAACGCGAAAGCAUUUGCCAAGGAUGUUUUCAUUAAUCAAGAACGAAAGUUAGGGGAUCAAAGACGAUCAGAUACCGUCCUAGUCUUAACUAUAAACUAUUCCGACUCAAUGUUUGACUGGCUUAUAUAACCAGUUGAGCGUUGUAUGAGAAAUCAAAGUCUUUAGGUUCUGGGGGGAGUAUGGUUGCAAAGCUGAAACUUAAAGGAAUUGACGGAAGAGCACAACCAGGAGUGGAUUCUGCGGCUUAAUUCGACUCAACACGGGGAAACUUACCAGGUUAAAACAAUAGUGGGAUUGACAGUUUGAGAGCGCUUUCUUGAUUGGUUGGGUGGUGGUGCAUGGCCGUUCUUAGUUGGUGGAGUGAUUUGUCUGCUUAAUUGCGUUAGCGAACGAGACAG
This 1308-nucleotide ribosomal RNA is filed under the name metagenome. Its description in RNAcentral is "SSU rRNA". It matches the Rfam family "Eukaryotic small subunit ribosomal RNA", at positions 1 to 1343 of the family's 1831-position model. The record is from RNAcentral.